Molecule: ribosomal RNA, 153 nt
Filed under: uncultured bacterium
Lineage: Bacteria
Description: partial 16S ribosomal RNA
Rfam family: Bacterial small subunit ribosomal RNA
Source: RNAcentral
AUCAGCAUGCUGCGGUGAAUACGUUCCCGGGCCUUGUACACACCGCCCGUCACACCAUGGGAGUCGGUAACACCCGAAGUCGGUAGCCUAACCGUAAGGAGGGCGCCGCCGAAGGUGGGAUUGAUGACUGGGGUGAAGUCGUAACAAGGUACC